Molecule: ribosomal RNA, 252 nt
Filed under: uncultured bacterium
Lineage: Bacteria
Description: partial 16S ribosomal RNA
Rfam family: Bacterial small subunit ribosomal RNA
Source: RNAcentral
UACGUAGGGGGCAAGCGUUGUCCGGAUUUAUUGGGCGUAAAGAGCGUGUAGGCGGCUGGGUAGGUCCGUUGUGAAAACUCGAGCUCAACCUCGAGACGCCGAUGGAAACCCUCCAGCUAGAGUCCGGAAGAGGAGAGUGGAAUUCCUGGUGUAGCGGUGAAAUGCGCAGAUAUCAGGAAGAACACCCGUGGCUAAGGCGGCUCUCUGGGCAUUACCUGACGCUGAGGAGCGAAAGUGUGGGGAGCGAACAGG